AAUGUUUUUGGUAUUUUUCUAAGCCUUAGUAGUUGGAUUUUAAUGCCCAUAUCGAAGAACUGAGAAAUUUUCACUUUAAGGCCGAUCAACAACCUAGGCCUUUUUUUUUUUUGUUUUUCCUUUUCUUUUUGUAUUUUCGCCUUUGGUCUCAUCUUGUUUGGUACCCGUUUACUGGCAUUGGUUACUCGACACCACCUAUCGAGUUAAAGCUGCCGUAGCCAUCACAACACACUGAAGCCCCACUGAACUAUAUCGUACAUCAGCAAGUUGACCCUCUCGCUUGCUCACUGUAAAUUUUGCUGCACCCUACCGUCUUUCUGGAAGUAGUCUUUAGUGGCGGGAGUGCUAUUACCUGAUAUACCCAGGCGGAGUGAUACCACCCCGUGACGACUUGACCUGGAGCGGUUCAACCGAAUAACCUACGCACUCUUCAGAUAAGCCUAAUAUUAGUUUAGUAUAUUAUUUGUAGCGUUUAAGUUUUGCACUUCAUAGAUGUAAAAGCUUCACUUCUGCAUCAUUAGUCACCAUUAUUUAUUGUCUGAUUUUUAUGUACUGUUUUUAAAUUUCACCCAUACGUGCCUAAACGUACCUAAAAUAAGAACCUUGGUAAUAAUUUGUUUUUGUCACGCCUUUUACAAGUGCUAUAGAUAAUCCAUCGAACAUAUAAAUUUUUACAUUUAGUACACCUACCUGUGUAAACCUCUGGUACAGCGCUGUAGUAAAGGGAAAUCUUUUUUUAACUUGGCUUUUCUCAAUCUGCCAAGAUUUAUACAUAUUUGUUUUGUUUAUAUCUGAUAUAUUCGCUCAAGUGACAUUAACCUAUAAGACCCAAAACAAUACUGGUUGCCAGAUCAGUAGGCACGAAUUAUACACUAGCCAUGGAACUUGAUCGACGUUGAUCCGCUCGACGUCUGGCGCGUUCCACAAACUAUAGUAAAGUGAUCCGAUCACAUGUACAUGUACUCUGAUACAAUAUAUGAGUAGAUUUUAAA
This is a long non-coding RNA of Anoplophora glabripennis (Asian longhorned beetle), 992 nucleotides long. RefSeq lists it as uncharacterized. Lineage: Eukaryota; Metazoa; Arthropoda; Insecta; Coleoptera; Cerambycidae. The record is from RefSeq and is a predicted model, not a curated record. The transcript has 2 exons.